UUGUGGAGGAGGACGCCGAAGGUGGGGCUAAUGACUGGGGUGAAGUCGUAACAAGGUAGCCGUACCGGAAGGUGCGGCUGGAUCACCUCCUAACAGGGAGACAACAAAAUGUUUAAUAUUAUUAUUUUGUCACCUUAGGUCGAUCGGUAUCUCACGUUUUUAAUUUAUUAAGAAUUUCAUUUCCUAAGUUUUUCUAGGUCACACCCAUUAUUUUUCCUGGGCCAUUAGCUCAGGUGGUUAGAGCGCACCCCUGAUAAGGGUGAGGUCCCUGGUUCAAGUCCAGGAUGGCCCAUAUCUCUAUGUUGGGGGUAUAGCUCAGUUGGUAGAGCGCCUGCUUUGCAAGCAGGAUGUCAGCGGUUCGAGUCCGCUUACCUCCACUGAUUACCACCUCUUCCAUAACAGGUACAAAGGAAAUGUUUUGAGUUGUGAUCAAAUUCUGAAAGAAUCUAGCUUCCUAAUGAAAUCAUUAAGAUGCUGGACUCAUUGAAUUAAUUUCAUUGUUUUCAGAGAACCUUGACAACUGCAUAGAUUAUUUUUAAAGACAAUAAGCAUCUUUAAUGAUGCAGAUUUAUUAUUUGUGCGAAUGCAUUAAUAACAAUUCUAUUAAGCUGAUGCUUCAAUUUUGAAGUUAUUGGUCAAGCUACAA
RNAcentral lists this unclassified non-coding RNA (646 nucleotides) under uncultured Prochlorococcus sp. Its description in RNAcentral is "partial 16S-23S ribosomal RNA intergenic spacer; may also contain 16S ribosomal RNA and 23S ribosomal RNA". The stretch from base 305 to 377 matches the Rfam family "tRNA". Lineage: Bacteria; Bacillati; Cyanobacteriota; Cyanophyceae; Synechococcales; Prochlorococcaceae. The record is from RNAcentral.